Molecule: non-coding RNA, 72 nt
Organism: Trichonephila clavata
Lineage: Eukaryota; Metazoa; Arthropoda; Arachnida; Araneae; Nephilidae
Source: the annotation of a GenBank genome assembly
GUCCCUGUAGCACAAUGGAUAGCGUGUUGGACAUCUAAUCCAAAGGUCGUUGAAGGAAUCCCUCCUGGGAUG